CUUAGAUAAGAAUAGUAAACCUAGUGAGGUUUUGUCUGAUUGACGUUUAUUUUAUUACAUGAUCGUCUAUGCCAACGAUGAUAUCUGAAGACGCGAGUCAAGGGCAUAAGUAGGAUUUCUCCGAAGUACAAGUACCAAAGCUAAGAUUUCCAGGAUGAGCAAGGAGAGAGAGAUUGGGGGAUCGCUGGAGGGCUGUUGUUCAUAGACGACCUUUUGAGUACCGUAUUUUACUACUAUACGGUUGUGCGUAUAGUCGAAGACUAUGUUCUUGAAACUUAAUUAGGAUUGUUACUCUCAGCUAUAUGUCUUCAUACAUAUAGUCUGAUCACGUUUUGCUGUGCUACUCUGAGCAAUAUGAAUCAUUGUAAAUAUUUAGCUAUACUCCCUUUGUUUUUGUUGACUAGAACCUUGAUACAUUUGAAUAAGUGAAGCCGAUAAUGUUUCUAUUAA
This is a long non-coding RNA of Salvia miltiorrhiza (redroot sage), 450 nucleotides long. RefSeq lists it as uncharacterized. The transcript has 2 exons. The record is from RefSeq and is a predicted model, not a curated record. NCBI's taxonomy places the organism in Eukaryota, Viridiplantae, Streptophyta, Magnoliopsida, Lamiales, Lamiaceae.